UACGAAGGGAGCUAGCGUUACUCGGAAUCACUGGGCGUAAAGCGCAUGUAGGCGGAAUUAUAAGUCAGGGGUGAAAUCCCAAGGCUCAACCUUGGAAUUGCCUUUGAAACUGUAAUACUUGAGUAUGGUAGAGGAUAGUGGAAUUUACGGUGUAGCAGUGAAAUGCGUAGAGAUCGUAAGGAAGACCAGUGGCGAAGGCGAGUCUCUGGACAGAUUCUGACGCUGAGGCACGAAGGCCAGGGGAGCAAACGGG
This 253-nucleotide ribosomal RNA is filed under the name uncultured bacterium. RNAcentral's name for it is "partial 16S ribosomal RNA". It matches the Rfam family "Bacterial small subunit ribosomal RNA", at positions 524 to 776 of the family's 1533-position model. The record is from RNAcentral.